CAAGCAAAAGUGAUGGGGAAUUUUAACUUUUAUAAUUUUAUAAUAUAAAUAUAAAUAUUUAAGCAAGUUGACUCUACUGUCUUGUAGUCA
Molecule: non-coding RNA, 90 nt
Organism: Sturnus vulgaris (Common starling)
Lineage: Eukaryota; Metazoa; Chordata; Aves; Passeriformes; Sturnidae
Source: RefSeq, a predicted model, not a curated record